RNAcentral lists this ribosomal RNA (753 nucleotides) under uncultured archaeon. RNAcentral's name for it is "bacterial SSU rRNA". It matches the Rfam family "Archaeal small subunit ribosomal RNA", at positions 102 to 856 of the family's 1478-position model. The record is from RNAcentral.
GGAUAACCUACCCUUGAGAUGGGGAUAAACCCGGGAAACUGGGUAUAAUACCCAAUAGAUCUCGACUGCUGGAAUGCAUCGAGAUCCAAAGCUUUGGCGCUCAAGGAUGGAUCUGCGGCCUAUCAGGUAGUAGUGGGUGUAGCGUACCUACUAGCCUACGACGGGUACGGGUUGUGAGAGCAAGAGCCCGGAGAUGGAUUCUGAGACACGAAUCCAGGCCCUACGGGGUGCAGCAGGCGCGAAAACUUUACAAUGCUGGAAACAGCGAUAAGGGGACCUCGAGUGCCAGGUUACAAAUCUGGCUGUCGUGAUGCCUAAAAAGCAUUGCAUAGCAAGGGCCGGGCAAGACCGGUGCCAGCCGCCGCGGUAACACCGGCGGCUCGAGUGGUAACCGUUAUUAUUGGGUCUAAAGGGUCUGUAGCCGGCCGGAUAAGUCUCUUGGGAAAUCUGGCAGCUUAACUGUCAGGCUUUCAGGAGAUACUGUCUGGCUCGAGGCCGGGAGAGGUGAGAGGUACUUCAGGGGUAGGGGUGAAAUCUUGUAAUCCUUGAAGGACCACCAGUGGCGAAGGCGUCUCACCAGAACGGACCUGACGGCAAGGGACGAAAGCUAGGGGCACGAACCGGAUUAGAUACCCGGGUAGUCCUAGCCGUAAACGAUACUCGCUAGGUGUCGGCAACGGUGCGACCGCUGUCGGUGCCGUAGGGAAGCCGUGAAGCGAGCCACCUGGGAAGUACGGCCGCAAGGCUGAAACU